This 784-nucleotide ribosomal RNA is filed under the name uncultured Chloroflexota bacterium. Its description in RNAcentral is "bacterial SSU rRNA". It matches the Rfam family "Bacterial small subunit ribosomal RNA", at positions 542 to 1343 of the family's 1533-position model. The record is from RNAcentral. Lineage: Bacteria; Bacillati; Chloroflexota.
UAUCCGAAGUCAUUGGGCGUAAAGGGUACGUAGGCGGCUAGUCAAGUCUGAGGUUAAAGACCACAGCUUAACUGUGGGAAGGCCUUGGAAACUGACUGGCUAGAGUGGGGCAGGGGUUGCGGGAAUUCCCGGUGUAGCGGUGAAAUGCGUAGAUAUCGGGAAGAACACCUGAGGCGAAAGCGCGCAACUGGGCCCUAACUGACGCUGAGGUACGAAAGCUAGGGGAGCAAACAGGAUUAGAUACCCUGGUAGUCCUAGCCGUAAACGAUGGAUGCUAGGUGUUGGCGGCAAAAACCCGUCAGUGCCGAAGCUAACGCGUUAAGCAUCCCGCCUGGGGAGUACGGCCGCAAGGCUAAAACUCAAAGGAAUUGACGGGGACCCGCACAAGCAGCGGAGCGUGUGGUUUAAUUCGACGCAACCCGAAGAACCUUACCAGGCCUUGACAUGCUAGGGGCCUAGGUGAAACGGGGUGCCCCGCGAGGGAGCCAGCACAGGUGCUGCAUGGCCGUCGUCAGCUCGUGUCGUGAGAUGUUGGGUUCAGUCCCGCAACGAGCGCAACCCGCGUCGGUAGUUACUCGUGUCUACCGAGACUGCCGCCUGACGGCGGAGGAAGGCGCGGAUGACGUCAAGUCAGCAUGGCCCUUACGUCCAGGGCGACACACACGCUACAAUGGCCACGACAAUGCGUUGCCAAGCCGCAAGGCGGAGCUAAUCGCUUAAACGUAGUCUCAGUGCAGAUCGGGGGCUGCAACUCGCCCCCGUGAAGGCGGAGUUGCUAGUAACC